This 699-nucleotide ribosomal RNA is filed under the name Triticum aestivum (bread wheat). RNAcentral describes it as "partial small subunit ribosomal RNA". Lineage: Eukaryota; Viridiplantae; Streptophyta; Magnoliopsida; Poales; Poaceae. The record is from RNAcentral.
AUGCCCGCCGUCAAACCACCAGAGUGGGAGGCCAUGUCUGCCAACGAGCAGUUGUUGUGGUAUCUUGAGAGGUUAUGCGCCCAGGCAGAUGAGAUGAGCUCAGCGUUGGGUAUUGCAAGCACGGGUGCCCCUCUGGUGGUUACCACGCUUGUUGAUCCGGCGGCCUCAACCACGAUGCACGCCUCGUCGGCGCCCGUUGCCGACGUCUCCGGCUCCACCACCAAGGCCCAGGAAGUGCUCGCGGUCAUCCACUACGUGCCCCCUGCCUGUGUCACGAUGGGGCACAUCACCUGUUCGACGGAUGGCUUGAACCAAGCUGUCGCCACCAACAGCGCCAACAAGGUCACCACCGUAUGCCCCAAGCCCUUCAUCGACCUCAGCGACAAGUUCGACGCCCUCAACAUUCAUGUGACGACCAGCACCAAUCCGCCGCUCCACGUCCAGGUUUCGUCACCAAAGUCUUCCCCCGACAGCACCUGCGGCGUCGCUGUUGCAGGACCGGAGGAGUACACACUCAUGGCGGCUACUCCAGACACCGUCCUCGAGCUUGCCGUACGCCCAAACAUCAUACUCAUCAUUCCUAGCGACCUCUCUGCACCGAUGCUGACCACCUGUUCGACAAAAUACUCUCGCAUUGACACCAACCUACUGAGGUAUGUGCUCCACCCAGCUGUGGCGCCCUCAUGGAUGGUGUUAUGA